UACGGGGGGGGUAAGCGUUGUUCGGAAUUACUGGGCGUAAAGGGCUCGUAGGCGGCCAACUAAGUCAGACGUGAAAUCCCUCAGCCUAACUGGGGAACUGCGUCUGAUACUGGAUGGCUUGGAUUCGGGAGAGGAAUGCGGAAUUCCAGGUGUAGCGGUGAAAUGCGUAGAUAUCUGGAGGAACACCGGUGGCGAAGGCGGCAUUCUGGACCGACAUUGACGCUGAGGAGCGAAAGCCAGGGGAGCAAACGGG
RNAcentral lists this ribosomal RNA (253 nucleotides) under uncultured bacterium. Its description in RNAcentral is "partial 16S ribosomal RNA". It matches the Rfam family "Bacterial small subunit ribosomal RNA", at positions 524 to 776 of the family's 1533-position model. The record is from RNAcentral.